AAUCGCGGCUCGUUUUAACGUGUUAAGCAGUUUACAUGUUGAAUUUCUGGCUAACUCUGGUUGCAAGCUACGCAAAUUGCGUAGGGCACCCAUAAUUUAUCAUAACGUGAAUAUCUCUUUGUAACAUGCAGAUAUAUGUGUGGUGUCUACUGAACAUGGGUAGAUUCAUGUGGAAAUAUUUUAAUAAUGAUUUAUAUUUAUUCAAUAAAUCAGACAUCAGCAUGCAAUGCGGGAGAUAGGCCUAAUAACAGCGUCUUGGCAUGGCUAUGGCUGCAAAACGAAACUUCUGGAACAGAUAAAGAGUGCCAAGAGUGAAGAAAGGAAAAUCUCCAGUUAAAGUCACGAGGACUAAAACCAUCUGAGACCGACAACAUUGCACAUAUCAAAUUAGGAUAGCCUAAUAAUUCAGCAAGAAUCCCAAAAUGGGACCGCCAUUUUGACAAUUAAUAGUGUGCACUGCAUGGUUUACCUCCCCAGUAACGGCCCAAAGGGCUCUGGGAAGAUGUAGGAAUAUACAGGACGCUGUCCUCACCAGCCAGAGGCUGGGGACAAGCUUGCUAUCCAACGUCGUGGAACGGGACUGUACGUCAUGGCACCGAAGUGCUGCGCUCCCAUACGCCACACGGACAGAGCCACAUGAGAGCCAUCUCACAGGAUGUCCACGUUGGGUCAUAGCAUUUAUUAAGAGAGAAGUACUCACUUUGUGUUCAACAUUGUUUUGCUGUGCCUUGUCGAGGUGGACCUUGAUGAGCCUGCUGCUGUCCAGUUUCACGCGAAUCCUUUUGCCAACAAUUUCGCUGGGAAAGACCAGG
This is a long non-coding RNA of Megalobrama amblycephala (Wuchang bream), 812 nucleotides long. RefSeq lists it as uncharacterized. NCBI's taxonomy places the organism in Eukaryota, Metazoa, Chordata, Actinopteri, Cypriniformes, Xenocyprididae. The transcript is spliced from 2 exons. The record is from RefSeq and is a predicted model, not a curated record.